UGGGGAUGUGCUCUCAACCACAGUACAUGCCCUUGACCUGAAUCAAACCUGGGACCCUUCAGUCCGCAGGCCGAUGCUCUAUCCACUGAGCCAAACUGGUUAGGGCAAGCAGUCACUAUUAAUGGCAUGCAGACUGCUGAUACCUACCCAGCAGCCACUGAGCAUUUGCUCAUUACUGGUAAAUUCUGGGUUUCUGAGGUUAAGCUCCCUACAUUCACACCAGUUGGCACUUUACCAUUUAGCAGUAUGUCUACCGUGUUAAUGUAGGUUGAAGGGAGGAUUAUAUGUAUUGAAACAAUCUGCAUGCCCAGGCAUCAGAUUAGACACUAUCCCUGUCGCACUUAGAUUUGUAGACUUAAAAGCAGGAUUCAGAGAUUGUGUGACUUGCCUGUGGCCAAGUAGAGCUAACACAAAUCUAUUGUAGUUCUGUGAACUCCACAGACAUAAAUUUUUUCACAGUGCCAUGAGCAGUGGCUGUUAAACCUUGAUUUUAGAUUUUAUCUUUUAUGGUUCAGAGGUUUUUUAUCUUUUAUAGUUAACAAAUAUGAAAAAUAUUAAAUUCUCUCAUUAAAAGUUUUUAUAGUACAGAAUAUAAAGUGGAAAAGGACAUGCUUUCUUAUAGUCUUACUCGGUCUGUUACUCUUCCAGACUUAGGCAUAUACAAGUUUAAGCAAAAAUGUGUUAAUAGUCGACACUUGUGGUUCCUAUAAAGGCACUGUUUUGAAGUGCUUUACCGUGGAUUAACUCUUAAUCCUCACAGCAACCAUCUGAGGUAGGUACACAUCCCCAUUCUACAUGUACUGCUCUGACGUUUGUCUCCCCUCCCCAAUUUGAUAUAGACAUUGUUUUUCAUGGCUACAAAUACUGUUGCAUUGCAUGAAUAUACUGUUAUUUAUUUAACCAACCCCUGGAUAGUUUUUGUUCUUUUUUUAAAUUAUUAUAGAAAAGGUAUGGUUAAAGAUACUUGUACAUAUAUUUUGCUGCUUGUGUGGGUAUUUCUGUAGGAUAAAUACAUGUGGGGUUUUUUGGUCAGAGAAUGUGCACAUUCAGCAUUUUAAGAGAUGCCACCUAAAAGAUUACAAAUUUCUAACUCCCUCAAUAGUAAGAGUGCCUAUGGGCUUGCCUACACUCGCACCAAUCUGAUAGACAAAAUUUAUUUCCUUCCUUUGAUAGUUAAUGAAGAACAUUUCUUAUGUUUAUUGGCCAUUUGCAUUUCCUGUUAUGAAUUGUGUUUGCCCAUUUUUCUUUUUUUUAAAUUAUGAAAGUAUAAAUGACUACUAGCUCAAUGUGUAAAGCAUAAAUGAUACAGGUAUAAGAACAAAGAGCCUUUUCUCCAGCACCUCAAUCACAUUCCACUUCCCAGAGUUUAGUAUAUAUCUGUCUAGUCCCCUUUCCAUUCAUCUCCAUUUGAAUGUACAUAAGCAUAUAAAGCUAUUUUUACAUAAACAGGAUCAUAUAUGUACUGUUAUACAGCUUGCCUUUUUUUUUGGUCUAAAAAACCUAUUCCUGAGGUCUUUAAAUUUCUUUAAUGAUUGACUAGGAUUCAAUAUUCUGAAAAUACCAAGGUUGAAGGUAUUUUUUCCUCCUGCUGUUACAUUGCCAAAGUAAAACUUUUCUCAUAUGUCUUUGUGCAUGUGUGUGAAUAUUCCUUUAGGAUGGAGCUGUGUACGGUGGGGUAUUACAUCCGCAGGUGUGCUCCCUGAUAGCUCACCUUAGCCUUCCUGAAGGCCUUCCUGACUUUAUAUUUUACCACCUGUAGGGAAAGUGUUCAUUUUUACAUAGGCCUUACCUACCCUUGGUACUUUUAUCUGAUGAGAAAAAAAAAAAAAAAAUCCUAAUUACAUUUCCCUGAUGAAUGGUAAGGUCAUGUUUAGUGGCCAUUUAUAGUUUCACCGUGGAUUAUUUGUUCACAUCCUCUAUAUCAGCUUUCCAGUUGGGCUACAUGUGGAUGUUUGUCGUUUCUGUUUGUACAGCAUCUCUUUUCCCAUCUUCUGUAACAGAGCCCUUAUUUAUUGCGGGGAACCCAUUCCCUAUGGCUUAGCUGAAUACAUAACCAGGUCUGGCCUCCCUGAGUUCUGCAGCUCCUUGACAGCAGUGAUGAAAGCACAGGCAUGUAACUCAGGCCAGGCCACAGAGAGCCCUCAGCAAACUGCGGAAACUAUUGGCAACACGGCUCAUGGAGAUCCAGGAACUAAGGACUGUGUGUGUACCAUGUGGGGAGAGUUUGAGGAGAAGCUCAGAGGCUAGCAGAAAGGACAGAGGACUGAGUUCUGAUGUCAUUUUUCUGGAGGCCCUUGAUCCAGCUGUGCCUAAAGCCUGCCCUACCUCUGGACUUUAACGUUUUGUGAGCCAAUAAAGUCCCUUUCUUGUUUAAGAUAAUUGAAUUGGGUUUCUGUCCUGAUUAAUAUAGGUUAUUUGUAUUUUCUUAUUGAUUUGUAGAAACCUCUGUAAUUUUAAAUUCUAGACUUACACUUUAUGCACUAUAUAGGUUAAUAAAAUUAGCAUGGACUUCCAUGAUUUGGCCUUUGUCAA
This is a long non-coding RNA of Pipistrellus kuhlii (Kuhl's pipistrelle), 2532 nucleotides long. RefSeq lists it as uncharacterized. The record is from RefSeq and is a predicted model, not a curated record. The transcript is spliced from 2 exons. NCBI's taxonomy places the organism in Eukaryota, Metazoa, Chordata, Mammalia, Chiroptera, Vespertilionidae.